UUGAACGCUGGCGGCAUGCCUUACACAUGCAAGUCGAACGGUAGAGGGGCAACCCUUGAGAGUGGCGAACGGGUGAGUAAUGCAUCGGAACGUGCCCAGUCGUGGGGGAUAACGCAGCGAAAGCUGUGCUAAUACCGCAUGUGAUCUGUGGACGAAAGCAGGGGACCGCAAGGCCUUGUGCGAUUGGAGCGGCCGAUGUCAGAUUAGCUAGUUGGUAGGGUAAAAGCCUACCAAGGCGACGAUCUGUAGCUG
RNAcentral lists this ribosomal RNA (252 nucleotides) under uncultured bacterium. RNAcentral's name for it is "partial 16S ribosomal RNA". It matches the Rfam family "Bacterial small subunit ribosomal RNA", at positions 30 to 289 of the family's 1533-position model. The record is from RNAcentral.